This 74-nucleotide transfer RNA is filed under the name Arthrobacter sp. Hiyo6. RNAcentral's name for it is "tRNA-Gly". Lineage: Bacteria; Bacillati; Actinomycetota; Actinomycetes; Micrococcales; Micrococcaceae. The record is from RNAcentral.
UGGAGCGGCUGACGGGAAUCGAACCCGCGUAUCAAGCUUGGGAAGCUAGCGCUCUACCAUUGAGCUACAGCCGC